CCAUCGACGGAUGCACUAGGCUGCAAAGCACACUCUAUGAUCCUGGAGCUGGGGCGGCGUUGGCAGGGCUGCGUCUGCAUCCUGCCCCUUCGUGGCCAAUCACCGGCGGGCAGCCGGUGACGUCAUGAAGCUUUUCCCAUCUGCUGGCACCACAAAGCACACUGGGAAGCAGGAGCGGAGGGAGGCUGGCGGCGGCCCGUGGUUGGCCCCUGCCGCAGCCCCCUGGCCCCGCCCCCACCUCUGAUGUCAUACACUAGGCACACCCCCACAUCUGACGUCAGGAGCGGGGGGCGUUAUUUCACUCCGAAACGGGGCUGUUUCGGAGUGAAAUAACGCCCCCCGCAUCUGAUGUCAGACACAGGGGGGGUGUCUGGCGCUGCGAGGCGCGGCCCGGGGGGGCGGGCGGCCCAGGUUCUUUGAACCCAUUCGCCCAAUGGUGGCUCCACCCCUGCUGGGAAGGAAGAGGCACCCCUGGAGGCUUCCCAUGGGGGCGGGGGUUGCAGCCACGGAGUUUGGCAACGGACCCAGAGGCUGCCUUGACCCGUCUGUUUCCUGGGCUUGCAGACCCAGCCUGAGAUGCUGCCUGCGGGCAACCAACGGAGUAGGAGCUUGCCUGCCCUCCAGCCCACCCCCAAGAGGCCGUGUGAACAAGCCUAAUAAUUAUUGAGCCAGUUUCUGUGGUGUAAAUAUGGCCCUGGAGGAACAGCAUCAAGGAGAGGUCAAGAUACUGCGGAAAGGAUGGAGGAGAGCAAAGAUCGAGGACUGAGUUGCUGAGCUGGGAGUGUAGGAUACGUGCGUGCCUCUAUGUCGCUCUGCGGAAGCUCGGCCAGGAGCGAGAGAAACGUCUCGGCCAACAGAUGAAAAGCCCAAACUGAAUUCAUCUCAUGCACUUUGUUCAAAAGAUGACUAUCUACAAAUGCAAAAGAAGGGAAAAAAAGAUGGUUGGACGAACGCCGCGCAAACACACAUACUUUAGACAUGCAGACCAACGUAUCUCCCAACGGCCCUUCUGGUAUUCCGAGCAAGGUGCUUCCUGCAGCCAGCAAAUCUGUUCUCCUGCAUUUUUAUCGUAACAAAAUUCAGUUGUUGGUGCAAUGGCACAUUUGGACCAAAGAGAGCUGAGUUGCUUCUACGGGUGCCCCAACCUUGCGUCAGGGUGCAAGAAGGGCACUGCAACACAGGCAACAUGCACCGGUUGUGGCAUCAGUGACGCCUCUAAGAAAACACUGAACAGAAUGGCUGGGCUCUUCCCGUUCCUUCCAGGCAUCUCUUUGGGCUUCCGCUGUUUCCUCCUUCCUUACCUCUUCUUUGAUGUUGAAGCGCGACGGCUCCUGUCUGCUCCGGUUCGACCUCCUGACCCCGUAAACAUCUGGAUAUUCUUCCCACAUCUGCAAAACAAAUUGGAGUCGCGUCUGGAUCCUGCCUUUGGUUAAAGGAACCCAAGGCAUUUUGCAAAGGUUUUUCCCAUCCUAACCUAGCCAUUAGUUGUGUUAUUAAUAGAUUAAAGGGUCUGGCAUUUUGUUCGUUUGUUGGAAGAGGGAGUGCUCUGCCUCGGAAGAAGCGGAGGAAAUUUUGGGUGUGGUUGCCAGGUGUAAAACUCCUCCAAUAACAGAGGAUCUGAAGAGCGCACAAUUUCAAAGGUAUUUUGAAGGAGACAGGUAUUAGUUCAGGGCUGUUAAUAUAUGGUGUUAUAUUUUUCUGAACUUACCUGUAUCUUGAUUUGUAUUUAUAUUUCCUGGCGUACUUAUUCUUGUAAUCAUUCUCAUGAUAUUUUGAAUGAAGUUUCUUUUCCGUA
Molecule: long non-coding RNA, 1795 nt
Organism: Hemicordylus capensis (graceful crag lizard)
Lineage: Eukaryota; Metazoa; Chordata; Lepidosauria; Squamata; Cordylidae
Exons: 2
Source: RefSeq, a predicted model, not a curated record